UGCAAGUCGAGCGAGACCUUCGGGUCUAGCGGCGGACGGGUUAGUAACGCGUGGGAACGUACCCUUUUCUACGGAAUAGCCUCGGGAAACUGAGAGUAAUACCGUAUACGCCCUUCGGGGGAAAGAUUUAUCGGAGAAGGAUCGGCCCGCGUUAGAUUAGAUAGUUGGUGGGGUAAUGGCCUACCAAGUCUACGAUCUAUAGCUGGUUUGAGAGGAUGAUCAGCAACACUGGGACUGAGACACGGCCCAG
Molecule: ribosomal RNA, 250 nt
Filed under: uncultured bacterium
Lineage: Bacteria
Description: partial 16S ribosomal RNA
Rfam family: Bacterial small subunit ribosomal RNA
Source: RNAcentral